Molecule: ribosomal RNA, 587 nt
Filed under: Deschampsia maderensis
Lineage: Eukaryota; Viridiplantae; Streptophyta; Magnoliopsida; Poales; Poaceae
Description: eukaryotic LSU rRNA
Rfam family: 5.8S ribosomal RNA (bases 218-373)
Source: RNAcentral
ACCCUGACCAAAACAGACCGCGCACGCGUCACCCAACCUGUCGACGACGACAUCGUUCGUCGCUCGGCCAAGUCCUCGAAAACCUCCUCUCCUCGGAGUGGGGGCUCGGGGUAAAAGAACCCACGGCGCCAAAGGCGUCAAGGAACACUGUGCCUAACCCGGGGACGCGGCUGGCUUGCUAGCCGCCCCCCGUGUUGCAAUGCUAUUUAAUCCACACGACUCUCGGCAACGGAUAUCUCGGCUCUCGCAUCGAUGAAGAACGUAGCGAAAUGCGAUACCUGGUGUGAAUUGCAGAAUCCCGCGAACCAUCGAGUCUUUGAACGCAAGUUGCGCCCGAGGCCACUCGGCCGAGGGCACGCCUGCCUGGGCGUCACGCCAAACACGCUCCCACCCCCUCAUCGGGGAGUGGGACGCGGCAUGUGGCUCUCCAUCACGCAAGGGGUGGAGGGCCGAAGAUUCGGCUGCCGGCGUAUCGUGCCGGACACAGCGCGUGGUGGGCGACCUCGCUUUACUUACCGCAGUGCAACCGGCGCGUAGCCGACAUUACGGCCGUGAAUGACCCUAUGAACGGAGCGCACCGACGCUUC